GUCCCCGUAGUUCAAUGGACAGAACGAGAGAUUCCUAAUCUCCAAAUGGGGGUUCGAUUCCCUCCGGGGACACAA
RNAcentral lists this transfer RNA (75 nucleotides) under Candidatus Colwellbacteria bacterium CG10_big_fil_rev_8_21_14_0_10_42_22. Its description in RNAcentral is "tRNA-Arg". It matches the Rfam family "tRNA". Rfam says of the family: Transfer RNA (tRNA) molecules are approximately 80 nucleotides in length. Lineage: Bacteria; Candidatus Colwelliibacteriota. The record is from RNAcentral.